RNAcentral lists this ribosomal RNA (325 nucleotides) under uncultured eukaryote. RNAcentral's name for it is "partial 18S ribosomal RNA". It matches the Rfam family "Eukaryotic small subunit ribosomal RNA", at positions 1470 to 1796 of the family's 1831-position model. The record is from RNAcentral.
CCCUUAGAUGUUCUGGGCCGCACGCGCGCUAAACUGAUGCAUUCAACGAGCCUAUCCUUGACCGACAGGUCCGGGUAAUCUUUGAAUCUGCAUCGUGACGGGGAUAGAUUAUUGCAAUUAUUAAUCUUCAACGAGGAAUGCCUAGUAGGCGCAAGUCAUCAGCUUGCGUCGAUUACGUCCCUGCCCUUUGUACACACCGCCCGUCGCUCCUACCGAUUGGGUGUGCUGGUGAAAUGUUCGGAUCGGCCGUUUGUCGCGGUUUCCGCGUCAUGUGGCUGAGAAGUUCAUUAAACCCUCCCACCUAGAGGAAGGAGAAGUCGUAACA